ACAAAGGCUCUUUUCAGAGCCACUAAGCAGUUCUUUGAAAAGGGCU
Molecule: non-coding RNA, 46 nt
Organism: Mus musculus (house mouse)
Lineage: Eukaryota; Metazoa; Chordata; Mammalia; Rodentia; Muridae
Source: Rfam